CGGGGCAGGGUGCCGGCCGGGGCAGGGUGCCGGCCCGCGCGCUGUCCUCAGCCAGCCUUCUGCCCCCUCAUGGCUGCGGCCCAGGCCUCCAAGCGGGGCCCCACGCUCCCCUUUGACAGGCGGGGGCCGCAAAGAGAGAAGCAAGUGGUGGGGGAACAGAAGGCUCCCUGAGGACGGGCGGGGGCUGACACCCCUCAACACCCCACCCUGGGACACAGUGACACUGAGGACAGGUGGGGGCUGACACCCCACAACACCCCGCCGUGGGACAGUGACGCUGAGGACGGGUGGGGGCUGACACCCCACAACACCCCGCCCUGGGACACAGUGACACUGAGGACAGGCCAAGUGUAAUGUUCCUCCCAGAUAUCGUACUGUUAAUGCCUUUCCUCCAGAAAAAGUCAACUCUGCUAAUACCUUGAUUUCAGACUUCUGGCCUCCAGAUCCAUGAGAUAAUAAAUUUCUGUUGUUUUAAGUCAAAGAAAGAAGGAAGGAAGAAAUGAAGGGAGGGAGGGUAGGGAAAGGAAGAAAUAAAAUAAUAAAAUAAAACCUUUCUAAGAGAAUCCCUCACCUUCCACCACCAAAUCUACCCACCCCCUUGCAACUACCCCCACAUUCUCUGCCUGCGUCCCUAUUACCCUAGAUGAAUUGUCCCUGUUCCCCUCAAAGUCCAGCCCCUCUGUGUGGGCUCAGAAUCCCGUCUCUUCGUGCCUGCUCAAGGACCUCCUCUCAGUGACCCCUCCCAGGCGUCUUGACAUUGACAGUGUCUGUCCUGCUUCUGGACAGCAGUCAAACAUGUUCUAGAUCUCCUAUCAUGAAAAGUGUUCUUCCUUGAUCCUGAGGUCCUCUCCAUAGCAAAAUUCAUCAGAAGGAUUUUCUGUGCUCAAUGUCGCCAGAUUUUUCCAUUCUCUUUACCCUCAACCUAUUCCAAUCAGGGUAACACUCCUUGGAAACUGCUCUUGGCAUAAUCACCAAUUAUUUUUGUGUUGUUUGAUCCAAACUGCUUUGCAGUCUGCUUACUCUCCAUGACAGAGAUCUAAAAAUAGUCUCUCAAGUCCAACUUCUUAAAAAGUUCUUCCCCCACAUUUUGGAAAUACUUUCGAGGACUUUUUUUUUUUUUUUUUAAUUUAAGACAAAUUCUGGAGUCAUAGUUCCCAUGUAAUAAAAUGCAUGCGCAUUCCAAGUGCACAGUUUGAUACAAAUUGGCAAAUGUACACCUGAGUGCCCAGCACCACUGUCAAAAUGUAGAACUUUCCCACUACUCCAGGCAGGACCCUCUGAUUCUUCCCGGUCAGCCCUGUCCUCACCCCUGGCCCCAAGCAAUGACCAAUCUGUGUUUUGUUGCUAUAGGUUAGAUCUGGCUUCUCUAGAGCUUCACACAAACAGAAUUACACAGGAUGAGUUUCGUGUCUAGCUUCUCUCACUCAGCACAGUGUUUUUGGGAUUCCCCAUGUUGCUGUGUAAAGCAGCGUCUCCUUUCCAAGGACAGUGUUUAGUAACAGAAAAUAAAACAAGCGUCAGUUCUGGAUGGAACUUUCAUGAGUAUUCUCAGUUCCACACUUCAUUCAGGCAAGAUUCUUUGAACCAACUUAUGACACGGAAUGACGUCUCGCAUCUGCGGUUGCCGGAAAGAGGAGACAUGCCCUUCCUGAAACUUUUUCUCCUGCAGCAUUCUUCAAACCCAGUGUUUGGAGCUUUCCAAACACUUUCCACCCCCACGUACAGAAAAGAGCUCAAAAUCCACCAUAUGGGAAGGAGAAAAGCAGAGGAUUUUAAACGAGGGGAAUAAGGGGCACGUGAUGUUCUUCUCUGACACGACUGAUACAGAUUAGCCCCCUGUCCGGUCACCUCCCAUCUCCCUGACUUAUCCCUGACACUGGCUGCCGUCGAGUGACCUUGCUCCUUUGAGUACCUGUGGCACAUGAAGAGCCGGUCACCGGCAGCGGCAUCCCUCCCUGGGAGACCAUGCGCUCUCCCACCCCAGGAAGCCCCACGUGGCCACGAGUUGCGCUUUGGCCGGAUCUGAAGUCCUGGCUAGAGACAGCUCCAGCUCAUACACUGAAUUGCUGGGGACGAUUCCCCUGCGUGAACACGCCGCCACUGACUGUGCCCUCAGCCUACUCAGCAUUUAGGCUGUUUCCAUUUUUCACGUUCACUGUCGACACCUCAGCACGCAGUCCCCAGGCGGCCCCUGAGCCCGUGCUUUCGUGGGAGACGUUGCCCGGGUGUGUGCUGGGCCGGGGGUGGCAGGCUGGAGGGUCUGUUCUUCUUCCCCUUUCCGGGGCAUCUUGAGGGCUCUCCGGGGAUUGUGCCAGGGGCUCUUUUACUUCCUGCCACCCCAGGGGAGGGAAAACGGAGCCCUUCAGACAGGACCUCUGCCCGUGAGCCAGAGGCAGGCCCUGUGGCUCCCCAAUCCCACUUUCUGCUUGUGUCUGGUUCACAAAGAGGUCUCCCUCACUCGGAUCUUGACGAGAUCUUUUGGGGCCUUUCUCCUUUUGUGUUUCAUUCACGGCUAUUGUACAUCUGAAGCUUGGAGUCACUUUGCCGUCGGAUUGUACGUCUGUCUGUCUUAAGCUACUUUUCCGGGCUUCCCUUCCAUCCUCCCGCUGUGCACUUCUGCUUGUACACCUGCCUCUUGGGCCCAGAAAUACUUUCCCAGGCUUGUCUUGGAGGCUGUAGCGUUCUUUGUUCUGUUCUCCGGGUCAUCUUUCCAAGCUCGGUUCAGACGCCAGCUCUUUUGUUUCUUCGGUCGGAAGGAACCUCUCCCUUUUCCUUCUUCCUGGGACAGUCGCUGUGACUACGUUUGUACUCAGGGGUCUGCACUGUCUGGUGUUAGCCGGACUGUGACUUUCUGGCAGCUGAUCCCCCUCCUUGUUCCAUGACCAUCCCAUGGGCCCUGCCCCCCCCCCCAAAUGAGAGCAUACAGAGCAUCAUUGAGGCAAAGGUGACCUGGGCUGUGUGGGGUGCCCUCUGGGUUCCUAUUGCCGGAUGGCCAUAGUGCUAGCAAUCUCCAUGAGUGGGCAUUCUGCGAAGAGAACCUUACAGCUCUGAAAGACUAUGAAAUGGUUCUGCUGUCUCUGUCACAGAUGAGGCAAUUAAGGCUCAGAGAGGUAAAAUGACUUAUUCAAGGUAAUACAGCCCAAACUGCAUUUACCAUUGUCGAUGGCCCCUUCAUUCCUUUUCCCAAAUUACCCUACAACCACAGGACUUUCUGAUGUCCAGGACAGGAAGUGCUCGUAGAGCACGCUUCCCCUUGUGGUGGGCAGCAGCAACGCCCAGUGUCCCUGCAAAGGUUGUCUGGUCACAGCCUUGAGCUUAACAAUCAAGUCACAGGAUACUCGGUUGAUCAGAGAAAAGUUUGAGACUUCCUAUGUUUU
Mustela lutreola (European mink) is the source of this 3377-nucleotide long non-coding RNA. RefSeq lists it as uncharacterized. The transcript is spliced from 2 exons. Lineage: Eukaryota; Metazoa; Chordata; Mammalia; Carnivora; Mustelidae. The record is from RefSeq and is a predicted model, not a curated record.